This 73-nucleotide transfer RNA is filed under the name Felis catus (domestic cat). It matches the Rfam family "tRNA". Rfam says of the family: Transfer RNA (tRNA) molecules are approximately 80 nucleotides in length. RNAcentral also lists the same sequence under 6 other names. The record is from Rfam by way of RNAcentral. Lineage: Eukaryota; Metazoa; Chordata; Mammalia; Carnivora; Felidae.
GCCUGGCUGACUUAGUUGGUAGAGCAUGUGACUCUUGAUUACUGGGUCGUGAGUUCAAGCCCCAUGUUGGGUG